GCACAUACUUACUUCAUUUCAGGUUAUUAAAUUGUGUUAAGCAUUAAAGUUAUUUGCCAUUCUUUGCCGCAACUCAUUUGUUCUUUUCAAUUCUAAGAAAUAUUAGAAGGUUAAAUAACUUAUCACAUAGGAGGGAUUAAUCAUGCUACCAAAAUUAGAAUGUGUGUAAUUCUGAGGGACUGAAUGUCAAAAUUGUAUGCUCAUAGCACUAAAACCACUGGGAAUCUAGGAUGCCACUAGAACAUGUAAAAUGGCAGCUAAGGUCUGUGCAAUCCCUUCAUGUUUAGAAACUGGCUAAAGCUUGAGUUCUCUUAUCUUUCGGUUAAGGUAAGGACAUUUAUCAUUUAUGUGAAUGUUUUAGACUAAUUUCUUUAUUAGUGGUUUGAGAAAUAUUCCUUUUGAGGAAAAUAGAGAGGCAAGCAAUAUUCAUUAAUAUAUCUGACAUAAAUAAAAUAGUUAAGAUAUAUAAAGCAGCCCAAGGAGUAACAUCCUUAGCUAAAGCAUUCUGAACUUCUGCCUUAAUAAUUAUGAUUUCUUAAGUGGAGUUAAAAAGAGUUGUACGGAGUACCUGUUCUACCAUAUUAUUGCUGUUUAUAGGAGUUGGGUGUGAUAGAAAAGGAAAGCUGGGUCAAAAUAAAAAAUGCUUUGUAAAAUAAACAAAGUUCCUAUUUACUUAUUAUGUAUAAACAGCCACUCACCAAGCCUCAUUUCUCCACAGGGCACCACUUUCAGAUAAAAACAUAGACCUGAAUGGCAUCAUCCAGUAUCCAAGGAAACCAUGCUUGCUUGAAGAGUGAGCAAGUGAGCAAAGAGACAAGAUUACAUGUUUAAACUGAGAAAAGAAUCUUGAAAAUGAUCUGUCUAGGGAUGCCAGCAAGUGCUCUCAAGAGAAAAUGUAUUCUGUUUCAUCCAGGUUCUCUAAACAUGAGCAUGCCUUUGGGGGAAGACAGAGAAGCAUGGAAGCUAUGUGAAAAAACAAACGGAUCCUAAGGACCUGGACACUUUGAACCUCUCAGGACCUCUCAGAUUCUAGCACAUAAACUCGGAGCCAAAUUCACAGCCAGCUCUCCUUCAAACUGC
Molecule: long non-coding RNA, 1080 nt
Filed under: Piliocolobus tephrosceles (Ugandan red Colobus)
Lineage: Eukaryota; Metazoa; Chordata; Mammalia; Primates; Cercopithecidae
Description: lncRNA (ENSPTEG00000003398.1)
Source: RNAcentral